Molecule: unclassified non-coding RNA, 148 nt
Filed under: uncultured Podospora
Lineage: Eukaryota; Fungi; Ascomycota; Sordariomycetes; Sordariales; Lasiosphaeriaceae
Description: sequence contains ITS1
Source: RNAcentral
AAGAGUUGCAAAACUCCCUUUACACCAUCGCGAACGUUACCUGUAACCGUUGCCUCGGCGGCGCGGGCCCUUCUGGGGCUAGCCCGCCGGCGGUACCCCGAAACUCUGUUUUUUAUAGGCUUCUCUGAGUAACUUAUCAAAUAAGUCA